This 75-nucleotide transfer RNA is filed under the name Sphingomonadales bacterium. RNAcentral describes it as "tRNA-Arg". It matches the Rfam family "tRNA". Rfam says of the family: Transfer RNA (tRNA) molecules are approximately 80 nucleotides in length. RNAcentral also lists the same sequence under 2 other names. Lineage: Bacteria; Pseudomonadati; Pseudomonadota; Alphaproteobacteria; Sphingomonadales. The record is from RNAcentral.
GGCCUCGUAGUUCAACGGAUAGAAUAGAAGUUUCCUAAACUUUAGAUAUGGGUUCGAUUCCCGUCGAGGCUACAA